GUAAAAUGGAUGCUGUCCAGGAGGUGGGAGGGUCUGGGAGGGAGGGUCUGCUGCUGAUUGGCUGGAAUGUGUCUGCUGACUGUGAGGUACAGGGUCAAAGUUUACUCAAUGAUGACAUAGGGGGCGGACCGAACAGCGCAUAUGUUCGCCGUCUGUGGCGAACCGUUCGGGACAUCACUAGUUGUGAGCAUCAAAUCCAUUAUAGAAUAUUUAUCUUUUAGAGAAACAUCUGAUUUAAAGGAGAACAAUUUACUGCAGGAAUGCUAAUAUUGUGAAAAAAAAAUCUGUUAAACUGUUAUUUAUCCUAUGAUUCCUAAGAACAUUUGAAGCUUUGCUUGCCUUCUGCAGAGCGUGAUGCUUGUGCAAGGCAUAAUGCCUUGAUAAACUUGUACCAAUACAAUUUCUCUGAUUUUUGUUUUAAUGAUCAGAGAAAUACUAUAAUGUAAAAACUUUUGUUUUUUCAUUCCCAUGAUAAAAUGUCCUUUUAUUUGUUUGUUGUAAAUAAAAAUGUUACAUGUAAACAUAUGUUGAGGAUUUGAAUAUUAAUGAAAUCUUUUAUGAAAAAAAUGAUAAUCGCAAAACGUAAACUUAUGGUCAGUGUUAGUUCUGUGUUGUAUGUGACGUUUAUGACUUUUUGGUGUAAAAAGAGCAAUAUUAUGAAAUGCUGCUUUAUGUUUUAAUGCACAUUAAUAAAACACAUCAAUGUAUAAAUUUUGUUAUAUUGUAGAUAUCUCUAAAGUUAUGUUAGGGGAUCACAACUGUUUCCUUAAAUUGAUUGUCAUUCUAUAACUAAUAGUAACAUAUUUCCAUUUUGUCUGAGUUAUUUUUCCAACAAUAUUUAGAAUAUAUAGUAGUCAUAUCGGUCCUCUCAAACUUGCCUUUUUCUACUGUUUCCCCUUUUCUUCCUCUUACAGUAACUAUUCUUCUUUUCUUCAUUCCUGAUCUAUUUUUCUUUAAAACAUAAAACAAAGUAGGGAAUCUUUUGUCUUAUGUAUUUUUCCUACGCUUGAUAAAUGUUGAAAAAAAGGUGAAGAUAGUAGAGCUUGCCUUAAUCUCCACCUUUGUCAGGAUUGUCAAGCAUAGGAAACAUACAUAAGACAAAUUAUCCCUACUUUGGCUUAUGUUUUAAAGAAAAAUAGAUCAACAACAAAAAGAGAAAGAAAGGGCAAAGCAAUAGAAAAAAGGUUACAUUUAGGUGGCAGAACCAUUUUAACAGAACGUUUUUAAGAAGCACCUAUGACCCAAGCACCUGUCAUGUAAUGUAUUUAUUAGUAGACCAAUCACAGUUCACAAUAUAAAUAAAUAAGAUUACAUUUUAAAGAGCAGGUGGCAUAUCAGUUUUUACAUUUACCAAAUGUACAUACAACUUUCUUUAAGUAAAACAAAGUUUACAACUAUUUGACUUGCCAUUGUUUUAAAAAGAUGAACAUGUAUUUUGCCCUGAGUCACAGUUUAUAUAUAACCUGUUUAUUUCAUGAUAUUAAUCAUGAAAGAGAUACAUUUAAAAACAAAAUAAUUCAGUUUAUUUUGGCAUGUCAGAUCAAGUGUAAAAAUAUCAGUGUAGCAUUUUGUAUACAAUGUUAUUUCUGUAUAUUCUUUCUACAAAUUACACAGACACCUUUUUUUAGAUAAUACAUAGUUUACAGAAAAUGUGAAUAUAAAAAUGUAAAUUGUUUAAUAAACAUACAUGUUUACUACAGAAAUGAGUUUACUAAACAUUAUAUUUAUGCAAAUAAACAUUGUACCUUGUUCUGCCAGUUAUAUUACAUAGCCAAGAGAGUUGUCCGAUUUUUAAAACCUUUUAUAAAGUAUUUACAUGCAAAAUUUAGUUUUACUCAUGUAUGUAAGUGCUUAGUAUUUUGUAAAAUAUACUUCAUUACAUUGGAUACCAUGAAUAGUGAGGUAAGGGGAGAUGACAACUGACAAACAAAAUAACCAUGAUAAUAAAUAAUGAAACCCAAAAAACACUAGCAAAUUCUGUUAUCAGCAAAUCUUGUAAAAUUAGAUUUUUUUUGUUGAUAGAAUAAUAUGUAAAUGAAUGGGCCUCCAGUCUUCUAAACUUCUAUACUUGACAGACAACAUUCUAUCUAAUGAUAAUUCAUUAGUAGUAUAACCCUAUUGGAGAUAUUUGAUUGUUUUAGCAUACAAAGCUACGGAAAAUGCUGGCGCUUUAUAAAUAAUAAAAUAAUAAAUAAUAACAAUAAGGCAUUUUAUCUUUUAGGGUUGUAGUGUUUUUUUGAGUAGGCUUAGUGGUUAUUUUUCUUUUGUUUUUUUAACUAAUCAAGUAUAUUGCCAUUUUAAAGUUCUGCAGGCCGAUGUUAACCAUCCAAGAUAAAACCUACUGAAAAAUUAGACCAAAGUAAUUAAGUUUGGAAAAUCCAUCUUUUGUUUUAAAUCUCAAGUCAUUUAGUUACUAAAUUAAAUCUACUUUUACCUUACCGUUACUUACUUUUUACUGAAUAAAAGCCUUUGCAUUCAAUACAAAUAUAUAGUAACUUUACUGAACUAAUUCCUUUUUCAGUGACUGAAUCUUUUAAAAUGGAAAUUUAAAAGAUUAUCAUAGAAAUAUUAUUCUAGCAAUAUAUACUAGGGUUUGAUUAAACCUCCUUUUAACCAGCUCUAUAGACAUUACAAUACAUAAAACUUUAAAUUAUGUUAUGAUAAAACUAACCAACUAUAAGAAAAAAGAAUAAUUUUGAAGAAAAAAAUGGGUUUUGUUUUUAAUUGUAAAACAUAUAGACUUCAGGGCUAUACAUUAAGUAUUUACAGCAGGGGUAUCCAACACGUAGAACUCCAGAUCUUGUAGAAAUACAAUUCGCAUGAUGACAGCAGGGAUGUCCAAAAGUAGACCCCCAGAUAUUGUAGCUAUGCAACUCCCAUAAUGCUUGCAUUAAAAGAACACUUAUUUUUCAAACAUUUAACCCCUUCAAGACGGAGUCAAUAGUGUACGUUCUGAUCAAAACUAAAAGUAAACAAAAACUGGAAUUUGCGCCAAAUGUCUGUUCAACCGUAAUUCACCGCUGUCACAUUAAGUGCACCCACACUUAUUAUAUAUAAUUUUGUUCAGGAGAAACAGGGCUUUAAUUUAUCAUUAACUAUUCAUAUAUGGAACAUAAUUUAUUAUGAAUAAAAUUUAAAGAAAUCUGAGAAAAUAAGAUUUUUUUUCCGUCUGACAUUUUAGCUGUGAAUGUCAUAAUACUGUUAGGUUUUACUGCAAAAAAAUUGCACAUAUUUGUAAUCAGCAAUGUCUCACGAGUACAACAGUACCCCCCAUUAACAGGUUUUAUGGUGUUUUGGAAAGUUACAGGGUCAAAUAUAGAAUGUCCCAUUUUCAUAUUGAAAUUUGCCAGAUUAGUAAUGUUACCUUUGAAAUGGUGUGGUAGCUCAGGAAUGAGAAUUACCCCCAUAAUGGCAUACCAUUUAAAAAAGUAGACAACCCAAUGUAUUGAAAGUGGGGUAUGUUUAGUCUUUUUUAGUAGCCACUUAGUCACAAACACUGGCCAAAGUUAGCG
This 3512-nucleotide long non-coding RNA is filed under the name Pelobates cultripes (western spadefoot toad). Lineage: Eukaryota; Metazoa; Chordata; Amphibia; Anura; Pelobatidae. The record is from RNAcentral.